GACGAACGCUGGCGGCGUGCUUAACACAUGCAAGUCGAACGGAAAGGCCCUACUUUUGUGGGGUGCUCGAGUGGCGAACGGGUGAGUAACACGUGAGUAACCUGCCCUUGACUUUGGGAUAACUUCAGGAAACUGGGGCUAAUACCGGAUAGGAGCUCCUGCUGCAUGGUGGGGGUUGGAAAGUUUCGGCGGUUGGGGAUGGACUCGCGGCUUAUCAGCUUGUUGGUGGGGUAGUGGCUUACCAAGGCUUUGACGGGUAGCCGGCCUGAGAGGGUGACCGGCCACAUUGGGACUGAGAUACAGCCCAGACUCCUACGGGAGGCAGCAGUGGGGAAUAUUGCACAAUGGGCGGAAGCCUGAUGCAGCAACGCCGCGUGCGGGAUGACGGCCUUCGGGUUGUAAACCGCUUUCGCCUGUGACGAAGCGUGAGUGACGGUAAUGGGCAAAGAAGCACCGGCUAACUACGUG
This 468-nucleotide ribosomal RNA is filed under the name uncultured bacterium. RNAcentral describes it as "partial 16S ribosomal RNA". It matches the Rfam family "Bacterial small subunit ribosomal RNA", at positions 28 to 507 of the family's 1533-position model. The record is from RNAcentral.